AAACUCAAAGGAAUUGACGGGGACCCGCACAAGCAGCGGAGCGUGUGGUUUAAUUCGUUGCUACACGAAGAACCUUACCUGGGUUUGACAUAUAGGUUGUAGGGAACUGAAAGGGACCGACCCUUCGGGGAGCCUAUACAGGUGUUGCAUGGCUGUCGUCAGCUCGUGUCGUGAGAUGUUGGGUUAAGUCCCGCAACGAGCGCAACCCUUGCCAUUAGUUGCUACGAAAGGGCACUCUAAUGGGACUGCCGGUGACAAACCGGAGGAAGGUGGGGAUGACGUCAAGUCCUCAUGGCCCUUAUAGGUGGGGCUACACACGUCAUACAAUGGCCGGUACAGAGGGUAGCCAACCCGCGAGGGGGAGCCAAUCCCAGAAAACCGGUCGUAGUCCGGAUCGCAGUCUGCAACUCGACUGCGUGAAGUCGGAAUCGCUAGUAAUCGCGGAUCAGCUUGCCGCGGUGAAUACGUUCCCGGGUCUU
This 479-nucleotide ribosomal RNA is filed under the name uncultured Longilinea sp. RNAcentral describes it as "bacterial SSU rRNA". It matches the Rfam family "Bacterial small subunit ribosomal RNA", at positions 897 to 1382 of the family's 1533-position model. Lineage: Bacteria; Bacillati; Chloroflexota; Anaerolineae; Anaerolineales; Anaerolineaceae. The record is from RNAcentral.